This 267-nucleotide ribosomal RNA is filed under the name uncultured bacterium. RNAcentral's name for it is "partial 16S ribosomal RNA". It matches the Rfam family "Bacterial small subunit ribosomal RNA", at positions 793 to 1055 of the family's 1533-position model. The record is from RNAcentral.
GUCCUAGCCCUAAACGAUGCUCAUUAGAUGUGGGAGGUAUCGACCCCUUCCGCGUCGCAGCUAACGCAUUAAAUGAGCCGCCUGGGGAGUACGGCCGCAAGGUUGAAACUCAAAGGAAUUGACGGGGGCCCGCACAAGCGGUGGAACAUGUGGUUUAAUUCGACGCAACGCGAAGAACCUUACCUGGGCUUGAACUACUGGUAGUAAGCCUUUGGAAACAGAGGCUGAUCCGCAAGGAAGCCAGCAGAGGUGCUGCAUGGUUGUCGU